GACCAUUGAGGUGGUGCAGGAAGUCGAAGGAAAACUUCUUACUCCGGAGUUUGCUCAAGCUAUGAAAACAUAUUUACAUAAAGUAAAAGGAGCGUCAGAAGAUGUCAGCAGAGUCAUCCGUGGUUUAUUAACGGAUGAUCUGCUCGAAAAAUACAAUUGGGAACUAUUUUUAUUUGACAAUAUUCUUCGAGAUGUUUUUCAAAAACAAGGAGCUUCCGAUUUCGAAAAAAG
This is a long non-coding RNA of Lucilia cuprina (Australian sheep blowfly), 231 nucleotides long. RefSeq lists it as uncharacterized. NCBI's taxonomy places the organism in Eukaryota, Metazoa, Arthropoda, Insecta, Diptera, Calliphoridae. The transcript has 3 exons. The record is from RefSeq and is a predicted model, not a curated record.